Molecule: non-coding RNA, 24 nt
Filed under: Cricetulus griseus (Chinese hamster)
Lineage: Eukaryota; Metazoa; Chordata; Mammalia; Rodentia; Cricetidae
Source: RNAcentral
UAACCAAGGAGAGAGGAAACUGUA